Long non-coding RNA from Cyprinus carpio carpio, 1464 nucleotides. The record is from Ensembl. NCBI's taxonomy places the organism in Eukaryota, Metazoa, Chordata, Actinopteri, Cypriniformes, Cyprinidae.
CUUGGUGUUGGUCAAAGCAUGCAAGUAACUGUAGAGUUCUUGCCUAAAACAACAGGGGAUCACAGCCAGGUUUUGCUGCUGCACUACCAUUCAGGCUUUCUUUAGACCUGCAUCAAGAAAAGGAUGAUGAAACGGAGCAGUUUCUGACAGAAAACACUGAUCCUUCUUUGCGAUCUCGUCUUUUUGCUGUUUUCCCACAGCCUCCGGGAGGGACUUGUCCAAACUCAGCAUCAGCUUUUGUCUUUGGAUGACCAGGACAUCAUCAUGAGGCCCCUGGUUGUGAUUCAGUGGAGCAGCUGGUCCAAAUAAACAGGAUUCUGAUCCAUCUUUCAACAGCAAGUGUUUUGUGAAUCCCACAUUGAACUCCCCGAGACUAGAGAAGCAUUCAAAGGAGAAAUCUGGCCCAACAGCACUGCAGAGGUGAACAUCAUCUUCAAACCGCAGGAAGCCAGGAUCUACCAGCAGACUGUUUACUGUGAAAUCACUGGUCGUGAAUCUCGGUUGCCCUCUCUGUAUACAGGGUGUAGGCCCAAAACUGCAGUUCAGCUUCGACUUUCUAGACAUGGGAAACAUUGUCAUCGGCUCAAAACAGAUCUAUAAAGUAGUAUCCAAGUGUAUGAUUAAACAACAUAAACUAAUCCCACUGGUGAAAGAAUGAAAGAAUUGGAAGUUUAUGCAGAGGGUGUUUAAUUGGACCUCGAUUCCACUUCAGCAUCCCGGAGCUCAACUUUGGGGAGGUGUCCUUUGAGUUUCUGCAAACGCUGACAUGUCUCCUUAGCAACACUUCAGUGGUGCCCAUGAGCUUUGGACUGCAGAUUCCCGGAGAUGGUACAGAACAGGCAAGCAUUACCAGCACGGACCAGGUUGCUCAGCUGAAUAGAAGUGAAUGGGGGCCGGGAGACAAAACUGAAAGGAGACCGAAAGAGUUUAUCUUAUUACCCAGCAGAGGCACAGUUUGCGCUAUGGCUGAGAUUGAUAUGUAGGGCUGUGAUUAUCUCGCCCAUACUCCUUUCACUGGUUGCCAGGUACCUUGCGUACCUGUCAUGUGCUGGUCUUUUCCCAUCAAUGGGAGCUGUCAGCACUUUGGAGGGCUAAUCUGUUGGAUGUGUCCGCCUGUCUUUGUGCUUCCUGUGGAUGUGGCUGUCUCCUGUCAGUGUGCAAAUGUGCCUCUCCCACUCUGUGACACAAGUGUGGCUCACCAUGCUCUAAUGAGGCCUCAGCACAAGAAUACCUAUUAGGGGAUUGUGGUUGGUCAUAUUAGUGGAAUGGAAUGAUAUUCCCAGAUGCAUCACACAGCUGGCUGGUAGCCUCCCAGACAUGUUAGCAUAAAAAAUAGCACCUGGAGAGUACUUUGCCUUUCUUCUCGGUUACAUUUCUUGGUGACAGUUGCCUGUGAUCCCAUAUGUGCGGUUUCAGAGCACUUAAAGCACUGCAGGGAGAGGAAUAUUGCUGUCUGAACUGUUU